UUUUGUUUCCCUUCUGAAUCCAAUUCCGUUUCUUAUUCUUAUAGUGGUUUUAUAAUUCGAUGAUCUUCUCCAACGAUUUUUUUUUUUCAUUCUUUUUUUUUCCGUGCAAGAACCAAGAAACUCCCCGGCGUUGUUUGGUCGGCUGUGCCGGAAACCCGAUGGAAAAGGCUCUGAUUUUUUUGGCGGAUGUACGCCACCUUGCGGAGAGGCUGUUUCCAUGUUUCGAAUCCCUGAUAGAUUGAGUGAGAAACGAGAUGAGGGUUCUCGUAUAUUUCUUGAUGUUGGUUUUUGAUCGCACCGGAUGUUCUGUUGUUGAUUUACUAUGGCGGAAUCCCGAUAUCAGUAUUCUUCUGAUUUGGGUUUUCUUUGCUCGGCGUUUAGACAUCACAUGAAAGAAUGGGCUGAUUGUUUUCUUUCGUUUUGUUGUGCAUGUUUUCCAAACUCUGUAUAAGACAUUGUUAGAUGGGACUGCAAAGAGUCCUAUAGGAGUAUCUGUGCUUGCUCAAGCAGACUUCAGUCAGAUUUUUUUUUUUUUUUUGAGUUUUUGACCUUUUUGGUUUGGAUAAAUCACUUAAUCGUUGGACCAUAUUUCAGCAUAAUUCUAGCAAGGGUGCCUUUGAAUUAGUCUUUUAUAAUUGAAUUCCUAUUUUAAAUGCGGUGGCUUCUAAAGUGUAAGAUUUUUGUGACAUUAUGGUCGUGAUUUGACUUUUUCUGAAACAAGUACUGGAAGAAUCUAUUUUAUUGGGUUCCAAAGUUUUCUCCCUUUA
This is a non-coding RNA of Elaeis guineensis (African oil palm), 767 nucleotides long. NCBI's taxonomy places the organism in Eukaryota, Viridiplantae, Streptophyta, Magnoliopsida, Arecales, Arecaceae. The record is from RefSeq and is a predicted model, not a curated record.